GCAACAGGCAUUUCACAACACUGCACCACCAAUAGAUCGCAAUCGGUCAUCAGCUGGUUAUUGAUUGCACAAUUCACAUAAAGCAGACGAUUUAUUCAAAAUUAUUUACAAACUUUACAAAAAGCAUAUGAAAAGCAAGCAGUUUCCCUGAAGGCGAACGGCUUACAGGACCUAUUUUGCAUAGAUAAAGCAACUGUUCCGCACGCCCACGCCCACACACACACACACACAUACACACGCCCACACACACACGCACGCACACACACAUACAGAAUCGCAUUCAAAUUUAGUCAAAUGAUUUUGUACUCAAGCGUCGCAACGGACACUCAACAGAGCCAUAAAAUCAAGUUGAGCUGGAAAGGCAAAUCGCAGCAAGUCGAAGCAGCAAAUACCCUACAAUCGAGAUAUCAUGGUCACUGGAGAAGCAUAGAGAACUUUCAAGACCCGCUGCCUUUUCCGUUUGCUCAACCGUUCGCCCAACAUGGAAUGCCUGCCUUCAACUGGAUAUCUAACGGGCUAUGCCCACUCAACCUCAGAGUAUUUACAGGCUGUAAUAAGAGCGUAGCCCGAAACGUUUCGAUGUACCAAAGCAAGGAGGGGACGACUGAUUCGACCGAAGGACUUUAUUUCUCUACAUACAUAUAUUUGUAUAUGUAUCUGUGUGUGUGUGUGUAUAUAUAUUGCCGGCCUUUGUGUUUCAGACGGAAAUCGUGGCUGGGCAGAGAGAGAGAGAGAGAGAGAGAGAGAGAGGUGAGACAGACAAACAGGGAGAGAGCGAGAGCGAACUAUAGAGGGAGAGUGAGGACGAAGUUGUUUGCCCUGGUGUUGAGAAGUUUGCGUUUACUUUUUUGUCAUGCGGCAAGCGCGGCAUGUGGCAUGAGGCGUGCGGCAUGCGGCGUGCGGCAUGUGGCAUGAGGCAUGUGGCAUGAGGCAAGUAUGUGUAGGUGGCCGUGGGGGCGUGCAAGGGGCGAGGCAAGUGACAUUGAUGAAACGGGCCGUAGAACAUUAGCCAAAUACUGCAGAAAUUUUGCACUAGACUCUGUUUACAUGGGGGUGACUAGCUAUACACAGUUGUGUAUGUGUGUGUGUGUGUGUGUGUGUGUGGGUGGGUGGGUGUUGGGUGAGUGAGUGGUUGGUAUGGGUGUCUGAAGCAACAGAAGUCGUACAAGGACAAAAUUGCGAAAGCAACUCAAAAGCAAAUGGAGAAGCAACAGCGAAACCCAAAGGAGUGUCACAGAAUACUCUGACAACGGCUCCAACUGACUUCAAAGCCCGCCAGGUGGGCGUAUCUGGUGGGCGUAACAUAAUGACAACUGUACUAGACAUACACAUACAUAUACACAUAUAAAUAUAAAUAUAAAGCUAUAUACAUAUUUAGACAUACUCAAAAGGCUGAGCUAUAAGUGAGAUAUUCAAUUUCCUGUUGGGCGGAAAUCGAAUCAAAUGAUAUCCAAAGCUAUAUAAUGUAACAUAUAUAAUAUACACAUAUUUAUACAUAUACACUCAUGAUGAAAAUAA
This is a long non-coding RNA of Drosophila mojavensis, 1518 nucleotides long. RefSeq lists it as uncharacterized. The transcript has 3 exons. The record is from RefSeq and is a predicted model, not a curated record. Lineage: Eukaryota; Metazoa; Arthropoda; Insecta; Diptera; Drosophilidae.